This 253-nucleotide ribosomal RNA is filed under the name uncultured bacterium. Its description in RNAcentral is "partial 16S ribosomal RNA". It matches the Rfam family "Bacterial small subunit ribosomal RNA", at positions 524 to 776 of the family's 1533-position model. The record is from RNAcentral.
UACGAAGGGGGCUAGCGUUGCUCGGAAUCACUGGGCGUAAAGGGUGCGUAGGCGGGCUUUUAAGUCAGGGGUGAAAUCCUGGAGCUCAACUCCAGAACUGCCUUUGAUACUGGCGAUCUUGAGUCCGGGAGAGGUGAGUGGAACUGCGAGUGUAGAGGUGAAAUUCGUAGAUAUUCGCAAGAACACCAGUGGCGAAGGCGGCUCACUGGCCCGGUACUGACGCUGAGGUGCGAAAGCGUGGGGAGCAAACAGG